Molecule: ribosomal RNA, 497 nt
Filed under: uncultured bacterium
Lineage: Bacteria
Description: partial 16S ribosomal RNA
Rfam family: Bacterial small subunit ribosomal RNA
Source: RNAcentral
GAUGAACGCUGGCGGCGUGCCUAAUACAUGCAAGUCGAGCGAACAGACGAGGAGCUUGCUCCUCUGACGUUAGCGGCGGACGGGUGAGUAACACGUGGAUAACCUACCUAUAAGACUGGGAUAACUUCGGGAAACCGGAGCUAAUACCGGAUAAUAUAUUGAACCGCAUGGUUCAAUAGUGAAAGACGGUUUUGCUGUCACUUAUAGAUGGAUCCGCGCCGCAUUAGCUAGUUGGUAAGGUAACGGCUUACAAAGGCGACGAUGCGUAGCCGACCUGAGAGCGUGAUCGGCCACACUGGAACUGAGACACGGUCCAGACUCCUACGGGAGGCAGCAGUAGGGAAUCUUCCGCAAUGGGCGAAAGCCUGACGGAGCAACGCCGCGUGAGUGAUGAAGGUCUUCGGAUCGUAAAACUCUGUUAUUAGGGAAGAACAAAUGUGUAAGUAACUAUGCACGUCUUGACGGUACCUAAUCAGAAAGCCACGGCUAACUACGUG